AGAGCGAACGCUAGCGGCGGGCCUAACACAUGCAAGUCGAGCGCAUACCUUCGGGUAUGAGCGGCGGACGGGUGAGUAACACGUAGGUAAUCUGCCCUAUGGUGGGGGAUAACCCGGGGAAACCCGGGCUAAUACCGCAUAUGGCCUUCGGGUCAAAGCCUUCGGGCGCCAAAGGAUGAGCCUGCGUCGCAUUACCUAGUUGGUGGGGUAAAAGCCUACCAAGGGGACGAUGCGUAGCUGGUCUGAGAGGAUGAUCAGCCACACUGGGACUGAGACACGGCCCAGACUCCUACGGGAGGCAGCAGUGGGGAAUAUUGCGCAAAUGGGCGAAAGCCUGACGCAGCUACGCCGCGUGGGUGAGUUGAAGGUCCGUUCGGGUUGUAAACGCCCGUAGGUCGGGGAGGGACGGAAGGUUCUGACGGUACCGUCCCGAAAGAAACGCGACCCGGCUAACCUCCGUAGCCCAAGCCUAGCCCGAC
RNAcentral lists this ribosomal RNA (479 nucleotides) under uncultured soil bacterium. RNAcentral's name for it is "bacterial SSU rRNA". It matches the Rfam family "Bacterial small subunit ribosomal RNA", at positions 26 to 512 of the family's 1533-position model. The record is from RNAcentral.